GUGGGGAAUAUUCCGCAAUGGACGAAAGUCUGACGGAGCAACGCCGCGUGAGUGAUGAAGGUUUUCGGACUGUAAAGCUCUGUUGUUUAGGACGAAAGUGCCUGUUGCAAAUAGUUACAGGUAUUGACGGUACUGAACGAGGAAGCCACGGCUAACUACGUGCCAGCAGCCGCGGUAAUACGUAGGUGGCAAGCGUUGUCCGGAAUUAUUGGGCGUAAAGAGCAUGUAGGCGGGAAUCUAAGUCUGUUGUGAAAAUGCGGGGCUCAACCCCGUAUUGCGAUGGAAACUGGGUUUCUUGAGUGCAGGAGAGGAAAGGGGAAUUCCCAGUGUAGCGGUGAAAUGCGUAGAUAUUGGGAGGAACACCAGUGGCGAAGGCGCCUUUCUGGACUGUGUCUGACGCUGAGAUGCGAAAGCCAGGGGAGCAAACGGGAUUAGAAACCCUGGUAGUCC
Molecule: ribosomal RNA, 450 nt
Filed under: uncultured bacterium
Lineage: Bacteria
Description: partial 16S ribosomal RNA
Rfam family: Bacterial small subunit ribosomal RNA
Source: RNAcentral